Molecule: small nuclear RNA, 110 nt
Filed under: Chinchilla lanigera (long-tailed chinchilla)
Lineage: Eukaryota; Metazoa; Chordata; Mammalia; Rodentia; Chinchillidae
Source: RNAcentral
GUGCUCGCUUUGACAGCAGCACAUGUACUAAAAUUGGAAUGAUACAGAGAAAAUUAGCAUGGCCCCUGCACAAGGAUGACAUGCAAGUUCGUGAAGCAUUCCAUAUUUUA